AUCAUUACCAGAGUUUUACAACUCCCAACCCUUCUGUGAACCUACCCAUAGUUGCUUCGGCGGACCCGCCCAGCGUCCGGACGGCCCAGCGCCGGCCCGCGACCUGGACCCAGGCGGCCGCCGGGGACCACGCAACCCUGUAUCUGUCAGCCUCUCUGAAUCCGCCGCAAGGCAACACAAACGAAUCAAAACUUUCAACAACGGAUCUCUUGGUUCUGGCAUCGAUGAAGAACGCAGCGAAAUGCGAUACGUAAUGUGAAUUGCAGAAUUCCGUGAAUCAUCGAAUCUUUGAACGCACAUUGCGCCCGCCAGCAUUCUGGCGGGCAUGCCUGUUCGAGCGUCAUUUCAACCCUCGACGUCCCCCGGGACUCGGCCGGCAGACCCCGCCCUGAAAUGGAGUGGCGGCCCGUCCGCGGCGACCUNUGCGCAGUACAAGCACUCGCACCGGGAACCCGACGCGGCCCGCCGUGAAACCCCCAACCUCUGAACGUUGACCUCGGAUCAGGUAGGACU
RNAcentral lists this ribosomal RNA (513 nucleotides) under Cordyceps tenuipes. Its description in RNAcentral is "eukaryotic LSU rRNA". The stretch from base 190 to 343 matches the Rfam family "5.8S ribosomal RNA". The record is from RNAcentral. Lineage: Eukaryota; Fungi; Ascomycota; Sordariomycetes; Hypocreales; Cordycipitaceae.